AGAAUGAACGCUGGCGGCGUGCUUAACACAUGCAAGUCGUAUGAGAACACCUCUGCUUGCAGAGGUUAGUAAAGUGGCGCACGGGUGAGUAAUGCGUGGGUAAUCUACCUUUGAAUUCGGGAUAACCCGCCGAAAGGCGAGCUAACACCGAAUAACAUUCAGAGUGCAUAUGCAUUUUGAAUCAAAAGUGGCCUUUAUAUGUAAGCUACUGUUUGGGGAUGAGCCCGCGUACCAUUAGCUAGUUGGUGGGGUAAAGGCCCACCAAGGCGACGAUGGUUAGCUGGUCUGAGAGGAUGAUUAGCCACACUGGAACUGAUAUAUGGUCCAGACUCCUACGGGAGGCAGCAGUGAGGAAUUUUGCGCAAUGGGGGAAACCCUGACGCAGCAACGCCGCGUGAGUGAUGAAGGCUUUUGGGUCGUAAAGCUCUGUCAAGUGGGAAGAAUCUGUACGAUAUUAAUAUUAUCGUGCACUGACGGUACCACUGAAGGAAGCACCGGUUAACUCCGUGCCAGUAGUUGUGGUAAUACGGGGGGUGCAAGUGUUAUUCGGAAUUAUUGGGCGUAAAGAGCGCGUAGGCGGUCUUGUAAGUCAGAUGUGAAAUACCGGGGCUUAACCCCGGAAGUGCAUUUGAUACUGCAGGACUUGAGUAUGGGAGAGGGAAGUGGAAUUCCUGGUGUAGAGGUGAAAUUUGUAGAUAUCAGGAGGAACACCGGUGGUGAAGGCGACUUCCUGGACCAAUACUGGCGCUGAGGCGCGAAGGCGUGGGGAGUAAACAGGAUUAGAUAUCCUGGUAGUCCACGCAGUAAACGUUGAUCACUAGGUGUAGCGGGUAUUGAUCCCUGCUGUGCCGCAGUUAAUGUAUUAAGUGAUCCGCCUGGGGAGUAUGAUCGCAAGGUUAAAACUCAAAGGAAUUGACGGGGGCCCGCAUAAGCGGUGGAGCAUGUGGUUUAAUUCGAUCAAUGCGAAGAACCUUACCUGGAUUUGACAUCCCGGGACCGCCCUUGAAAGAGGGAAAUGCCCUUUGGGGAGCCCGGUGAUAGGUGCUGUAUGGCUGUCGUCAGCUCGCGUUGUGAGAUGUUGGGUUAAGUCCCGCAACGAGCGUAACCCUUAUCUUUAGUUACCAUUAUUUGGUUGGGGAUUUUAAAGAUACUGCCCCGGUUAACGGGGAGGAAGGUGGGGAUGACGUCAAGUCCUCAUGGCCUUUAUGUCCAGGGCUACACACGUGCUACAAUGGACUGUAUAAAGGGUCGCAAUCCCGUGAGGGGGAGUUAAUCCCAUAAAGCAGUUCCUAGUUUGGAUUGGAGUCUGUAAUUUGACUUCAUGAAGUUGGAAUCGUUAGUAAUCGUGGAUUAGUAUGCCACGGUGAAUAUGUUCCCGGGCCUUGUAUAUACCGCCCGUCACACCAUGAGAGUUGGUUGUACCAGAGGUUGUUGGAUUAACCUGUAAGGGGGGUAAACACCUAAGGUAUGGCUGAUGAUUGGGGUGAAGUUGAAAUAAGGUA
This 1502-nucleotide ribosomal RNA is filed under the name metagenome. RNAcentral describes it as "bacterial SSU rRNA". It matches the Rfam family "Bacterial small subunit ribosomal RNA". The record is from RNAcentral.